RNAcentral lists this long non-coding RNA (1018 nucleotides) under Microcebus murinus (gray mouse lemur). Its description in RNAcentral is "lncRNA (ENSMICG00000048498.1)". The stretch from base 771 to 922 matches the Rfam family "Metazoan signal recognition particle RNA". Lineage: Eukaryota; Metazoa; Chordata; Mammalia; Primates; Cheirogaleidae. The record is from RNAcentral.
GCUCCAUGAAGGGAAAGCAGUGUUCGUGCAUCCAGCUGUGACUGUAGCUACAGCAAGGCUGCUGGCUGGACCUUUGCAUUUGUGCAGAAGAAGAGUGUGAGGGAGUGGUUUGGGGCAUUUCUGUUAAUUUUUUGAAAUGUAAAAUUAUUUUUUCUUAAUACAGAAGCAGCCCAUGUUUGUUUUAGAAAAAUCAGAAAACACAAGCCCAAGAAAUAUGAAAAAUACAAGCAAUUCCGCCCACUCAGAGAUCUGUACCAAGAUGCUGGCAGUGUUAUCUUUCCAAAUCCUCUGCAUGCACAUGCACGAAUGGGACCAGGCGGCAGCAGCCCAGCUUAGAGAAACAAAGAAGGAAAGAAACCUCCUGGACUUUGGAUGUACAGCCAAACACCUGGGCUGGAAUCUGAAUGCAGAAAACAGGCAUGGAACGCCAAGAAUGUCGCACCUGUGCACAAGGACUGCCUCAGAGAUGGAGCUGGAUGCAAUCCUGCCUGCUUUCCACAGAAGCUGAAGAUUGGAGAUUUGGAUUAGAACGUAAGUCCCAAGGAGUAAAUGUCCUCUAAAUUCCUUUUUAAUGUUCCUUCUUUAAAGAUGGACUUAAUGCCAGUUAAAAUCAAAUUCAGGCCGGGCGCGGUGGCUCAAGCCUGUAAUCCUAGCACUCGGGCGGAUUGCUCGAGGUCAGGAGUUCGAAACCAGCCUGAGCAAGAGCAAGACCCCGUCUCUACUAUAAAUAGAAAGAAAUUAAUUGGCCAACUAAUAUAUAUAUAAAAUUGGCCGGGCAUGGUGGUGCAUGCCUGUAGUCCCAGCUACUCGGGAGGCUGAGGCAGAAGGAUUGCUUGAGCCCAGGAGUUUGAGGUUGCUGUGAGCUAGGCUGACGCCACGGCACUCACUCUAGCCUGGGCAACAGAGUGAGACUCUGUCUCAAAAAAAAAAAAAAAAAAAAAAAAUCAAAUUCAAAGCUCAAACCCAAUCAUCUUAAAUUUCAAAAGUGUUUGUGUUUGUGAUGCAUUUUUAUGGGUUC